UGCAGCAAAGUAAUAGGCGUGGAGCCAAAAACAAAAAAAACCCCCAAAUUUUUCUCUCAUUUUCUAUUGAACUCCAGGAUUUGAAGUUUCAAACGCAGCCCUAGCCUAGCACUCAAUUCAGUUCUUCCCCAAUUUCUUAAACGCAGCCGGCAGCUCCCUAGUAACUGUUUUUCCUUCUUCCUUGUAUUCUAAAAGUUGCAAAACCCAGUUCAUCUGUGGGUGUGGGUCUGUGCUUCGAACCCCAUUCCCGAUCUCCACCAUUCCUUCAUCGAAACUCCUACCCCCAACCUCUGUAACCCCUUCUGAAAUCUACUCACUUUCCUCAGUGAAGCUUAGAGAGCACGCCAUGGGAGACCUCGCCGUUACUUCCAAGGAGGGCCCCAAGCUCCCCAUUCCCGGCCAACGCAACGUCCUCAUCACCAGCGCACUGCCGUACGUCAACAACGUCCCUCAUCGGCUGCGACGUCUUCCCUCGCUACUGCCGUCUCCGGGGAUACAACACCGUCUAUAUCUGCGGCACCGCCACCGAGACCAAAGCCCUGGAGGACAAGUGUAUCCCCAAGGAGAUCUGCGAUAAGUACUAUGCGAUUCAUCGGCAGGUGUAUGAGUGGUUCAAUAUUAGUUUUGACAAAUUCGGGCGAACUUGAGCAGACUGAGGUGUGCCAAUAGGCUGCCGGAGAAUAAUUGGCUUUCUGAGAACACAAUGCAGCAGCUAUAUUGUGAUACUUGCACACGGUUUUUAGCCGACAGGCUCGUGGAGGGGACGUGCCCAACUCAAGCUUGUGAUUAUACCUCUGCAAGAGGAGAUCAGUAUGAGAACUGUGGGAAGCUUUUAAACCCCACAGAAUUAAAAGAUCCCAAGUGCAAGAGAUUUUCAUACAGUAGAGUUUCUGGCAUCAGGGAGGAUACAUGCAAAUGAGUUUGAUGUGUUGGAUUGUAGCAGUGGAAGUGAGUUUACUACCCUGGCACUUACACAGAAGAAGAUGGAAGACUUUUCCCAACUCCAGAUUAUUCGUCACACAUUGACUAUCAAUGGGGUUUUGAAGGACUAAAGAAAACCAUUUGGAAGCUCUUAAAUGCCCCUGAUGGUGAGCGGAAUUCCGUAUCUUCGAGCCACAUUGAAGAAGGUAUAAAAUCAAGCAGUGCCCAUUGCAUCUCAUACUUAAUCAAGGAUCCUAGUAAGGCAAGGAAAGUUGAUGAUUUAAGACAGAAACUCAGGAUGCGGGGACUACGCUGCCAUCCAAUGUACUGCAGAAGCUCAACGCGAAUGCAAAUUGUUCCUCUCCUUGCUUCUCGAGCACAGGCUCUCAGGUACCUUUUUGUACGGUAUUGAAUGUUGCAAACAUGUAUGUGUUCCUUGGAGAAAGCGACGACAUUGUUCCUCCUCAGAGCACUGGUCACCAUUGUAAAUGGGCAAGCUCCAACAGCUGAUGAGAUUGCCACUGCUCUGAAGCAAGUCACCAAAUCUACUUCUCUGGAAUGUGAUUACGUGAUGCGACUUGAAUGUGGAUUUAUGUACCUUUUGAGAAGAAACGAGGCCUCCAUCAAGAAUAAAGGCGGACAAUGAAACACAUCAAAACAAGGCCUAUUACUAAAAGCUCAGCUAACCAACUGGUGAGGCGCCACUGCAUUCCUUUCACGAUAUAUUGCUUAAAGUAGCAACAUGGUAGGUCAGAUGAUAGAAGAGCAAUAGUCUAUAUAUGGAUGUACACAUAAUGUGCUGUUACUGACCGCCAGCCAUAAUUAUCUGAAGUGGUGUCACCAGAUCAGUUUUGAUUGAUGUCAGGCUAGCCCUUAUAAACAGCAAACUGCUAAAUGAAAAGGCAAAUGGUGAAACGUACAAAGGUUGA
Long non-coding RNA from Rosa rugosa (rugosa rose), 1850 nucleotides. RefSeq lists it as uncharacterized. The transcript has 6 exons. NCBI's taxonomy places the organism in Eukaryota, Viridiplantae, Streptophyta, Magnoliopsida, Rosales, Rosaceae. The record is from RefSeq and is a predicted model, not a curated record.